ACUGAAUAGAUACCCUGGUAGUCCACGCCGUAAACGAUGGAUACUAGCUGUUCGGAGCAAAUCUGAGUGGCUAAAGCGAAAGUGAUAAGUAUCCCACCUGGGGAGUACGCACGCAAGUGUGAAACUCAAAGGAAUUGACGGGGGCCCGCACAAGCGGUGGAGCAUGUGGUUUAAUUCGAUGAUACGCGAGGAACCUUACCAGGGCUUAAAUGUAGAUUGACAGGACUGGAAACAGUUUUUCUUCGGACAAUUUACAAGGUGCUGCAUGGUUGUCGUCAGCUCGUGCCGUGAGGUGUCAGGUUAAGUCCUAUAACGAGCGCAACCCUGUCGUUAGUUGCCAGCGAGUCAUGUCGGGAACUCUAACGAGACUGCCAGUGUAAACUGUGAGGAAGGUGGGGAUGACGUCAAAUCAUCACGGCCCUUACGUCCUGGGCCACACACGUGCUACAAUGGUAGGUACAGAGAGCAGCCACUGCGCGAGCAGGAGCGAAUCUACAAAACCUAUCUCAGUUCGGAUCGGA
Molecule: ribosomal RNA, 521 nt
Filed under: uncultured bacterium
Lineage: Bacteria
Description: bacterial SSU rRNA
Rfam family: Bacterial small subunit ribosomal RNA
Source: RNAcentral